AGCGUACACGGUGGAUGCCUUGGCAGUCAGAGGCGAUGAAGGACGUGGUAAUCUGCGAAAAGUCUUGGGGAGCCGAUAAACAGGCCCUGAUCCAGGAAUGUCCGAAUGGGGAAACCCACUCACGUAAGUGAGUAUCCUUUACCUGAAUACAUAGGGUUUAGGAGGCGAACCCGGGGAACUGAAACAUCUAAGUACCCGGAGGAAAAGAAAUCAACCGAGAUUCCCCUAGUAGCGGCGAGCGAACGGGGACCAGCCCUUAAGCAAUAUUUGGUUUAGCGGAACACUCUGGAAAGUGUGGCCAUAGUGGGUGAUAGCCCCGUACGCGAAAAGCCAUUUAUUGUGAAAUCGAGUAGGUCGGCACACGUGAAAUGUUGACUGAACAUGGGGGGACCAUCCUCCAAGGCUAAAUACUCCUGACUGACCGAUAGUGAACCAGUACCGUGAGGGAAAGGCGAAAAGAACCCCGUUGAGGGGAGUGAAAUAGAACCUGAAACCGUGUACGUACAAGCAGUGGGAGCAGACUUGUUCUGUGACUGCGUACCUUUUGUAUAAUGGGUCAGCGACUUAUUUUCUGUGGCAAGGUUAACCGAAUAGGGAAGCCGUAGCGAAAGCGAGUCUUAAUAGGGCGUCCAGUCGCAGUGAAUAGACCCGAAACCGGGCGAUCUAUCCAUGAGCAGGUUGAAGAUCAGGUAACACUGAUUGGAGGACCGAACCCACUGUCGUUGAAAAGCCAGGGGAUGACUUGUGGAUAGGAGUGAAAGGCUAAUCAAGCCCGGAGAUAGCUGGUUCUCCUCGAAAGCUAUUUAGGUAGCGCCUCGUGUCUCACCAUCGGGGGUAGAGCACUGUUUGGGCUAGGGGGCCAUCCCGGCUUACCAACCCCAUGCAAACUCCGAAUACCGAUGAGUGCAAUCACGGGAGACACACGGCGGGUGCUAACGUCCGUCGUGGAAAGGGAAACAACCCAGACCGUCAGCUAAGGUCCCAAAGUAAUAGUUAAGUGGGAAACGAUGUGAGAAGGCCCAGACAGCCAGGAGGUUGGCUUAGAAGCAGCCACCCUUUAAAGAAAGCGUAAUAGCUCACUGGUCGAGUCGGCUUGCGCGGAAGAUGUAACGGGGCUCAAACUAUUCACCGAAGCUACGGGUUCAAUACUUUGUAUUGAGCGGUAGAGGAGCGUUCUGUAAGCCGUUGAAGGUCAACCGGGAGGUGGGCUGGAGGUAUCAGAAGUGCGAAUGCUGACAUGAGUAACGAUAAAGGGAGUGAGAUCCUCCCUCGCCGGAAGACCAAGGGUUCCUGCGCAACGCUAAUCGGCGCAGGGUGAGUCGGCCCCUAAGGUGAGGUCGAAAGACGUAAUCGAUGGGAAACAGGUUAAUAUUCCUGUACCCCUUUUGACUGCGAUGGAGUGACGGAGAAGGCUAGGUCAGCCCGGUGAUGGUUAUCCGGGUUUAAGGUCGUAGACAGUGGAAUCAGGCAAAUCCGGUUCCAUAAUGUCGAGAACUGAUGACGAACUGACUACGGUCAGGAAGUGAUUGAUGCCAGGCUUCCAGGAAAAACUUCUAAGCUCUAGGUCAAAAGGGACCGUACCCGAAACCGACACAGGUGGUCAGGUAGAGAAUACCAAGGCGCUUGAGAGAACUUGGGUGAAGGAACUAGGCAAAAUGGCACCGUAACUUCGGGAGAAGGUGCGCCGCUGAUGGUGAUCGGACUUGCUCCGUAAGCUAUCGGCGGUCGAAGAUACCAGGUGGCUGCGACUGUUUAUUAAAAACACAGCACUGUGCUAACACGUAAGUGGACGUAUACGGUGUGACGCCUGCCCGGUGCCGGAAGGUUAAUUGAUGGGGUUAGCUUAGGCGAAGCUCUUGAUCGAAGCCCCGGUAAACGGCGGCCGUAACUAUAACGGUCCUAAGGUAGCGAAAUUCCUUGUCGGGUAAGUUCCGACCUGCACGAAUGGCGUAACGAUGGCCACGCUGUCUCCACCCAAGACUCAGUGAAAUUGAAAUCGCUGUUAAGAUGCAGUGUAUCCGCGGCUAGACGGAAAGACCCCGUGAACCUUUACUACAGCUUCAUAGUGGAUCUUGAUGUUGCUUGUGUAGGAUAGGUGGGAGGCUUUGAAGUGUGAACGCCAGUUUGCAUGGAGCCAACCUUGAAAUACCACCCUGGCAAUAUUGAGGUUCUAACUCAGGUCCCUGAUCGGGAUCGAGGACAUUGUGUGGUGGGUAGUUUGACUGGGGCGGUCUCCUCCCAAAGAGUAACGGAGGAGCACGAAGGUUGGCUAAGCACGGUCGGACAUCGUGCGGUUAGUGUAAUGGUACAAGCCAGCUUGACUGCGAGACGUACAUGUCGAGCAGGUACGAAAGUAGGUCAUAGUGAUCCGGUGGUUCUGAAUGGAAGGGCCAUCGCUCAACGGAUAAAAGGUACUCCGGGGAUAACAGGCUGAUACCGCCCAAGAGUUCACAUCGACGGCGGUGUUUGGCACCUCGAUGUCGGCUCAUCACAUCCUGGGGCUGAAGCCGGUCCCAAGGGUAUGGCUGUUCGCCAUUUAAAGUGGUACGCGAGCUGGGUUUAGAACGUCGUGAGACAGUUCGGUCCCUAUCUGCCGUGGACGUUGGAAGUUUGAGGAGAGCUGCUCCUAGUACGAGAGGACCGGAGUGGACGAACCACUGGUGUUCGGGUUGUGUCGCCAGACGCAUUGCCCGGUAGCUACGUUCGGACGGGAUAACCGCUGAAAGCAUCUAAGCGGGAAGCCCCCUUCAAGAUGAGACUUCCCUGGACCCUGAGGUCCCAUAAGAGACGUUGAAGACUACGACGUUGAUAGGCUGGGUGUGUAAGCGUUGU
This is a ribosomal RNA of 2832 nucleotides. It matches the Rfam family "Bacterial large subunit ribosomal RNA".